RNAcentral lists this ribosomal RNA (425 nucleotides) under uncultured prokaryote. Its description in RNAcentral is "bacterial SSU rRNA". It matches the Rfam family "Bacterial small subunit ribosomal RNA", at positions 355 to 774 of the family's 1533-position model. The record is from RNAcentral.
UGGGGAAUCAUGGUCAAUGGGCGAAAGCCUGAACCUGCGACGCCGCGUGAGUGAUGAAGGUCGUAAGAUCGUAAAACUCUUUUCAGGGAUCUUAAAGCCUGUCUGUCAACAACAGGCAGGUCUGACUCUCCCUGGAAGAAGCCCCAGCCAACUACGUGCCAGCAGCUGCGGUAAUACGUAGGGGGCGAGCGUUAUUCGGAAUUACUGGGUGUAAAGGGUAGGUAGGCGGCCCUUCAAGUCGCGUGUCAAAGUCCAGUGCUCAACGCUGGGUGUGCGCGCGAGACUGACGGGCGUGAGGGCUGGAGAGGUGAGCGGAAUUCCCGGUGUAGUGGUAAAAUACGUAGAGAUCGGGAGGAACACCAGCGGCGCAGGCGGCUCACUAGACAGUUUCUGACGCUAAGAUACGAAAGCGUGGGGAGCAAACA